This 424-nucleotide ribosomal RNA is filed under the name Verrucomicrobiota bacterium. Its description in RNAcentral is "Verrucomicrobia bacterium partial 16S ribosomal RNA". It matches the Rfam family "Bacterial small subunit ribosomal RNA", at positions 355 to 776 of the family's 1533-position model. Lineage: Bacteria; Pseudomonadati; Verrucomicrobiota. The record is from RNAcentral.
UGAGGAAUAUUGGUCAAUGGGCGAGAGCCUGAACCAGCCAAGUAGCGUGCAGGAUGACGGCCCUAUGGGUUGUAAACUGCUUUUAUGUGGGGAUAAAGUGCGUGACGUGUCAUGCAUUGCAGGUACCACAUGAAUAAGGACCGGCUAAUUCCGUGCCAGCAGCCGCGGUAAUACGGAAGGUCCGGGCGUUAUCCGGAUUUAUUGGGUUUAAAGGGAGCGUAGGCUGUCUACUAAGCGUGUUGUGAAAUUUACCGGCUCAACCGGUGGCUUGCAGCGCGAACUGGUCGACUUGAGUAUGCAGGAAGUAGGCGGAAUUCAUGGUGUAGCGGUGAAAUGCUUAGAUAUCAUGACGAACUCCGAUUGCGCAGGCAGCUUACUGUAGCAUAACUGACGCUGAUGCUCGAAAGUGCGGGUAUCAAACAGG